GUUCCUGUAGUUAAGAAAUAACGGUGGCUUUUCAGGCCACAGGCCUUGGGGAAAAACCAAGUAGGAACU
Molecule: transfer RNA, 69 nt
Filed under: Corythornis leucogaster (White-bellied kingfisher)
Lineage: Eukaryota; Metazoa; Chordata; Aves; Coraciiformes; Alcedinidae
Description: tRNA-Glu
Source: RNAcentral